GGCGGCGGCGGCGGCACAGAGGAUGAACAUGGGACCCAUAAACAGACGCUUCGUCCUGUUUAUGGGUCGCAGACUUUGUGGACAAACAUAGAGACCAGUUGAUCCAAACAGUGAAGAACUUGGGACCCAUUAUGGAUGAACUUCUCCAGAACGGCGUUCUGCAUCCAGAGACCUACAACGACAUCAGAUCUCUGCGGACCGCUGAGUCUCAGAUGAGGGAGAUUUUUAUCCACCUUGGUGCUGGAGACGAAUGCAAGAAUAUUUUCUUCUCCAUCCUUCAGAAGAACGAACGUUUUCUGGUCUCAGACCUGCAGAUGGACGACUAGAUGUUGAGAGAAAAUAAAAAUUUUUAUGAAAUAUGAGUUGUUUUCUGGUUUUUGUUCUUUUGCACAGAAGAGGAACAUUUUCCUUCACUGUAACGUCUCCAUGUCUGCGUAACAUUGUCUGUUACAUUUAAAUUAAACUGAUAUCUUAUUU
Cyprinodon tularosa is the source of this 477-nucleotide long non-coding RNA. RefSeq lists it as uncharacterized. The record is from RefSeq and is a predicted model, not a curated record. The transcript is spliced from 2 exons. NCBI's taxonomy places the organism in Eukaryota, Metazoa, Chordata, Actinopteri, Cyprinodontiformes, Cyprinodontidae.